Obelidium mucronatum is the source of this 71-nucleotide non-coding RNA. The record is from the annotation of a GenBank genome assembly. NCBI's taxonomy places the organism in Eukaryota, Fungi, Chytridiomycota, Chytridiomycetes, Chytridiales, Chytriomycetaceae.
GUUCCGUAGCUUAGUGGUCAUUGUGCGCGACUCUCACGGUGGAAACCCGGGUUCGAUUCCCGCUAGUAACA